UCCAAUGGCACUUGGAAUUGCUCCGUGAAGUUCGUUGGAUGACAAGUAAAGGCCUCCAAGGGAAGUCAAUUUUCCAAUAGCACUUGGAAAUUCUCCUUCAAGAUCGUUUUCUGACAAGUCAAGGCUGUUGAGGGAAGUGAAAUUUCCUAUGGUACUUGGAAUUGUCUCUUGCAAGUUAUUAAAGGCAAGGCGGAGAUGCUCAAGAUGUGUAAAAUCAUGUGACCAAAAGGCCAUGGAAGAAUUGAAAUAAUUUCUAGAUAAAUCAAGUUCUCUAAGGAAAGUUAUAUUUUGAAGAUGAACAGGGACUGAUCCAAAAAAAAGAUUCGAUGAAAGAUCAAGAGAACUCAACUUUGUGAUUUGAAAAAUCCAAUUGGACACAGAAGAUUCAUCAAAAUUGUUCAUUGACAAAUCAAGAACAGAAAGUGAUGAAAAAUUGACGUUGGGAAGUGGAGGCGCCUUAUGAUUUAGUGAACUGCCUGACAAGUGUAACUCUACCAGAGAGGGGAGUUUGUUCAUCGCAUCCAACCAAUCCAAGGCUUUACUAAGAUUCACAGAACUCAAGUCAAGGAAUUCUAAUGAUGAGAGACUAGAGAGCCAGUGUAAACUCACAACAUAUUUCUCAUAAUCAUAACUAGAAAUAGUGAGAUGCUGUAAAUUUGAAAGAUUUCCGAGUUGAUGAGGAAUCAUUCCUCCAAA
Molecule: unclassified non-coding RNA, 696 nt
Filed under: Hevea brasiliensis (rubber tree)
Lineage: Eukaryota; Viridiplantae; Streptophyta; Magnoliopsida; Malpighiales; Euphorbiaceae
Source: RNAcentral